UUGUCUCAAAGAUUAAGCCAUGCAUGUCUCAGUACAAGCCAAAUUAAGGUGAAACCGCGAAAGGCUCAUUAAAUCAGUUAUGGUUCCUUAGAUCGUACCCACAUUUACUUGGAUAACUGUGGUAAUUCUAGAGCUAAUACAUGCAAACAGAGCUCCAACCGGAAACGGAAGGAGCGCUUUUAUUAGAUCAAAACCAAUCGGUGGCGGUCUCCGUCAUCGUACAACUUGGUGACUCUGAAUAACUUUACGCUGAUCGCACGGUCUCGCACCGGCGACGCAUCUUUCAAAUGUCUGCCUUAUCAACUGUCGAUGGUAGGUUCUGCGCCUACCAUGGUUGUAACGGGUAACGGGGAAUCAGGGUUCGAUUCCGGAGAGGGAGCCUGAGAAACGGCUACCACAUCCAAGGAAGGCAGCAGGCGCGCAAAUUACCCACUCCCGGCACGGGGAGGUAGUGACGAAAAAUAACGAUACGGGACUCAUCCGAGGCCCCGUAAUCGGAAUGAGUACACUCUAAACCCUUUAACGAGGAUCAAUUGGAGGGCAAGUCUGGUGCCAGCAGCCGCGGUAAUUCCAGCUCCAAUAGCGUAUAUUAAAGUUGUUGCGGUUAAAAAGCUCGUAGUCGAAUCUGUGUCCCGCGCCGCCGGUUCAUCGUUCGCGGUGUUAACUGGCGUGCCGCGGGACGUCCUGCCGGUGGGCUUAGCUCGAGAGGGCGGCCCAACUCAAUCCCGCCGCGGUGCUCUUCAUUGAGUGUCGAGGUGGGCCGGCACGUUUACUUUGAACAAAUUAGAGUGCUUAAAGCAGGCUAAAACUUCGCCUGAAUACUGUGUGCAUGGAAUAAUGGAAUAGGACCUCGGUUCUAUUUUGUUGGUUUUCGGAACCCCGAGGUAAUGAUUAAUAGGAACGGAUGGGGGCAUUCGUAUUGCGACGUUAGAGGUGAAAUUCUUGGAUCGUCGCAAGACGGACAGAAGCGAAAGCAUUUGCCAAAAACGCUUUCAUUGAUCAAGAACGAAAGUUAGAGGUUCGAAGGCGAUCAGAUACCGCCCUAGUUCUAACCAUAAACGAUGCCAGCUAGCGAUCCGCCGACGUUCCUCCGAUGACUCGGCGGGCAGCUUCCGGGAAACCAAAGCUUUUGGGUUCCGGGGGAAGUAUGGUUGCAAAGCUGAAACUUAAAGGAAUUGACGGAAGGGCACCACCAGGAGUGGAGCCUGCGGCUUAAUU
RNAcentral lists this ribosomal RNA (1218 nucleotides) under Promethis angulata. RNAcentral's name for it is "SSU rRNA". It matches the Rfam family "Eukaryotic small subunit ribosomal RNA", at positions 32 to 1195 of the family's 1831-position model. Lineage: Eukaryota; Metazoa; Arthropoda; Insecta; Coleoptera; Tenebrionidae. The record is from RNAcentral.